RNAcentral lists this ribosomal RNA (253 nucleotides) under uncultured bacterium. RNAcentral describes it as "partial 16S ribosomal RNA". It matches the Rfam family "Bacterial small subunit ribosomal RNA", at positions 524 to 776 of the family's 1533-position model. The record is from RNAcentral.
UACAGAGGUGGCAAGCGUUGUUCGGAAUUACUGGGCGUAAAGGGCGCGUAGGCGGGAUGGCAAGUCGGUCGUGAAAUCCUUCGGCUCAACCGAAGAACGUCGGCCGAUACUGCCGUUCUUGAGGGAUGCAGAGGAGAUUGGAAUUCCCGGUGUAGCGGUGAAAUGUGUAGAGAUCGGGAGGAACACCGGUGGCGAAGGCGGGUCUCUGGGCAUCUCCUGACGCUGAGGCGCGAAAGCGUGGGGAGCAACGGGG